AGUUGUAUCCUGGCUCAGGAUGAACGCUGGCGGUAUGCUUAACACAUGCAAGUCGAACGGGCUCUUAGGAGCUAGUGGCGGACGGGUGAGUAACGCGUGAGAAUCUGGCUUCAGGUCGGGGACAACCACUGGAAACGGUGGCUAAUACCGGAUGUGCCGCAAGGUAAAAGGCUUGCCGCCUGGAGAUGAGCUCGCGUCUGAUUAGCUAGUAGGUGGGGUAAAAGCCUACCUAGGCGACGAUCAGUAGCUGGUCUGAGAGGAUGAUCAGCCACACUGGGACUGAGACACGGCCCAGACUCCUACGGGAGGCAGCAGUGGGGAAUUUUCCGCAAUGGGCGAAAGCCUGACGGAGCAAUACCGCGUGAGGGAGGAAGGCUCUUGGGUUGUAAACCUCUUUUCUCAGGGAAGAACACAAUGACGGUACCUGAGGAAUAAGCAUCGGCUAACUCCGUGCCAGCAGCCGCGGUAAUACGGAGGAUGCAAGCGUUAUCCGGAAUGAUUGGGCGUAAAGCGUCCGCAGGUGGCUGUGUAAGUCUGCUGUUAAAGAGUGAGGCUCAACCUCAUAAGAGCAGUGGAAACUACACGGCUAGAGUGCGUUCGGGGUAGAGGGAAUUCCUGGUGUAGCGGUGAAAUGCGUAGAUAUCAGGAAGAACACCGGUGGCGAAAGCGCUCUGCUAGGCCGCAACUGACACUGAGGGACGAAAGCUAGGGGAGCGAAUGGGAUUAGAUACCCCAGUAGUCCUAGCCGUAAACGAUGGAUACUANGCGUGGCUUGUAUCGACCCGAGCCCGUGCCGUAGCUAACGCGUUUAAGUAUCCCGCCUGGGGAGUACNCACNCAAGUGUGAAACUCAAAGGAAUUGACNGGGGG
This 869-nucleotide ribosomal RNA is filed under the name uncultured bacterium. RNAcentral's name for it is "bacterial SSU rRNA". It matches the Rfam family "Bacterial small subunit ribosomal RNA", at positions 10 to 920 of the family's 1533-position model. The record is from RNAcentral.